GACGAACGCUGGCGGCGUGCUUAACACAUGCAAGUCGAACGGCAAGGCCCUGCUUUUGUGGGGUGCUCGAGUGGCGAACGGGUGAGUAACACGUGAGUAACCUGACCUUGACUUUGGGAUAACUUCAGGAAACUGGGGCUAAUACCGGAUAGGAGCUCCUGCUGCAUGGUGGGGGUUGGAAAGUUUCGGCGGGUGGGGAUGGACUCGCGGCUUAUCAGCUUGUUGGUGGGGUAGUGGCUUACCAAGGCUUUGACGGGUAGCCGGCCUGAGAGGGUGACCGGCCACAAUGGGACUGAGAUACGGCCCAGACUCCUACGGGAGGCAGCAGUGGGGAAUAUUGCACAAUGGGCGGAAGCCUGAUGCAGAAACGCCGCGUUCGGGAUGACGGCCUUCGGGGUGUAAACCGCUUUCGCCUGUGACGAAGCGUGAGUGACGGUAAUGGGUAAAGAAGCACCGGCUAACUACGUG
Molecule: ribosomal RNA, 468 nt
Filed under: uncultured bacterium
Lineage: Bacteria
Description: partial 16S ribosomal RNA
Rfam family: Bacterial small subunit ribosomal RNA
Source: RNAcentral